CCUGGAGAAACUGCCUGCUCGUGGCUUGGACAGGUGCACUGUGUUCCUGGCUGAAAAGCUUUCUGCAUGACCAGGCCCAGAGAGUGCAGAAUGGUAAUUGGAUCCUACAGUUAGGAGGACUCUAAGCUGUGAAUUUUAAGCACGCUGUGUUAUCUGUGUUGUGGCCUGACUUAAGUUUCUAAGGAAUUGCAAUAAUGCUGCUGCAUUUCUGGGGUUUGGAUGAUACCAUCUGGGAAUUUUAGAAGGGUUUGUUGUGCCUGUUGUGCUUUACAAGCUCAAUCUCUGGCCAGAACAUGUUUCUCAUGAUGAAGAAGAAGAUUCACAUAUCUCCAGGCAGAUGUUUUCCUGCAGGCCCUUAGAAGAAAGGCAUUUUAAAUUCCUGCUUGACUUGAUGCAGGUAAAUCUUCAGGUAUUUAAAAGGAGAAAAGGAAGACUUUACACUGGCAUUGCUUGAAGGGUUGAAGAUGACUAGCUA
Agelaius phoeniceus (red-winged blackbird) is the source of this 475-nucleotide non-coding RNA. The record is from RefSeq and is a predicted model, not a curated record. Lineage: Eukaryota; Metazoa; Chordata; Aves; Passeriformes; Icteridae.